Molecule: non-coding RNA, 73 nt
Organism: Bos taurus (domestic cattle)
Lineage: Eukaryota; Metazoa; Chordata; Mammalia; Artiodactyla; Bovidae
Source: Rfam
UCCUUUGUGGCUCAGCUGGUAAAGAAUCCGCCUGUAAUGCGGGAGACCUGGGUUCAAUCCCUGGGUUGGGGAA